UAGGGAAUCUCCCACAAUGGACGAAAGUCUGAUGGAGCAACGCCGCGUGAGUGAAGAAGGGUUUCGGCUCGUAAAACUCUGUUGUUAAAGAAGAACAUAUCUGAGAGUAACUGUUCAGGUAUUGACGGUAUUUAACCAGAAAGCCACGGCUAACUACGUACCAG
This 164-nucleotide ribosomal RNA is filed under the name uncultured bacterium. RNAcentral's name for it is "partial 16S ribosomal RNA". It matches the Rfam family "Bacterial small subunit ribosomal RNA", at positions 355 to 511 of the family's 1533-position model. The record is from RNAcentral.